GGGCCCGCACAAGCGGUGGAGCAUGUGGUUUAAUUCGAUGAUACGCGAGGAACCUUACCAGGGCUUAAAUGUAGGUUGCAUGAUCUAGAGAUAGAUCUUUCUUCGGACUACCUACAAGGUGCUGCAUGGUUGUCGUCAGCUCGUGCCGUGAGUGUCAGGUUAAGUCCUAUAACGAGCGCAACCCCGUCGUUAGUUACCAGCAAUUAAAAGCUUGGGGUACUCAUAGCGAGACUGCCGGUGCAAAACCGUGAGGAAGGUGGGGGAUGACGUCAAAUCAUCACGGCCCUUACGUCCUGGGCUACACACGUGCUACAAUGGCCGGUACAGAGAGCAGCCACUACGCGAGUAGGAG
Molecule: ribosomal RNA, 352 nt
Filed under: uncultured bacterium
Lineage: Bacteria
Description: bacterial SSU rRNA
Rfam family: Bacterial small subunit ribosomal RNA
Source: RNAcentral